GACGAAGGGGGCUAGCGUUGUUCGGAAUUACUGGGCGUAAAGCGCGUGUAGGCGGUUGUCCAAGUCGGGUGUGAAAGCCUUGAGCUCAACUCAAGAAAUGCACUCGAUACUGGGCGACUAGAGUGCCGGAGAGGAUAGUGGAAUUCCCAGUGUAGUGGUGAAAUACGUAGAGAUUGGGAAGAACACCAGUGGCGAAGGCGGCUAUCUGGACGGUUUCUGACGCUAAGACGCGAAAGCGUGGGGAGCAAACAGG
This 253-nucleotide ribosomal RNA is filed under the name uncultured bacterium. Its description in RNAcentral is "partial 16S ribosomal RNA". It matches the Rfam family "Bacterial small subunit ribosomal RNA", at positions 524 to 776 of the family's 1533-position model. The record is from RNAcentral.